RNAcentral lists this ribosomal RNA (427 nucleotides) under uncultured bacterium. RNAcentral's name for it is "bacterial SSU rRNA". It matches the Rfam family "Bacterial small subunit ribosomal RNA", at positions 355 to 774 of the family's 1533-position model. The record is from RNAcentral.
UGGGGAAUUUUGGACAAUGGGCGCAAGCCUGAUCCAGCCAUGCCGCGUGCAGGAAGAAGGCCUUCGGGUUGUAAACUGCUUUUGUACGGAGCGAAAAGCCCCUGGCGAAUAACCGGGGGUCAUGACGGUACCGUAAGAAUAAGCGCCGGCUAACUACGUGCCAGCAGCCGCGGUAAUACGUAGGGUGCAAGCGUUAAUCGGAAUUACUGGGCGUAAAGCGUGCGCAGGCGGUUUUGUAAGACAGAGGUGAAAUCCCCGGGCUCAACCUGGGAACUGCCUUUGUGACUGCAAAGCUGGAGUGCGGCAGAGGGGGAUGGAAUUCCGCGUGUAGCAGUGAAAUGCGUAGAUAUGCGGAGGAACACCGAUGGCGAAGGCAAUCCCCUGGGCCUGCACUGACGCUCAUGCACGAAAGCGUGGGGAGCAAACA